CCGACGCCGCUCAAGAACUACAAAGGAUUGACGGGGCCCGCACAAGCGGUGGAGCAUGUGGUUUAAUUCGAUGAUACGCGAGGAACCUUACCUGGGCUCAAAUGUAUGUUGACGUAUUCUGAAAGGGAUACUUCUUCGGACAAUAUACAAGGUGCUGCAUGGUUGUCGUCAGCUCGUGCCGCGAGGUGUCGGGUUAAGUCCCAUAACGAGCGCAACCCCUAUCAUUAGUUGCCAUCAGGUCAAGCUGGGGACUCUAAUGAAACUGCCUACGCAAGUAGUGAGGAAGGUGGGGAUGACGUCAAGUCCUCAUGGCCUUUAUGACCAGGGCUACACACGUACUACAAUGGCCGAUACAAAGGGCAGCGACACUGCGAGGUGAAGCCAAUCCCGUAAAAUCGGUCUCAGUCCGGAUUGGAGUCUGCAACUCGACUCCAUGAAGUUGGAAUCGCUAGUAAUCGUGGAUCAGCAUGCCACGGUGAAUACGUUCCCGGGCCUU
This 496-nucleotide ribosomal RNA is filed under the name uncultured Cystobacterineae bacterium. RNAcentral's name for it is "bacterial SSU rRNA". It matches the Rfam family "Bacterial small subunit ribosomal RNA", at positions 904 to 1382 of the family's 1533-position model. The record is from RNAcentral. Lineage: Bacteria; Pseudomonadati; Myxococcota; Myxococcia; Myxococcales.